ACUGAGUUCAUCCAUUGGCUCAUUCUGAACUGCUGCUGAGAAGAGAAGUACUGUCACACUGACAGACUGACAAACUUCAGCUAGUUCCUCCUGUUGAUUGAAUCCUUGUUGUAGAGAUGGAGCGUUGGCUGUGGAUCAUUCUGGCUGCUCUUUUCUUUGGGUGUAAAGGAGAAGACACAGUGACCCAGCCAGCAGAGGAUGUUGUUGCUUCAGAGGGAGACACUGUCACACUUGGCUGUACGUUUGAGACAACUAGAACGAAUCCCUAUUUGUUCUGGUACAGACAAGAAGUUGGUGAUUUCCCAAAGUACAUGCUGAGAUGUUUCUCAGAAAACACAUAUUUUGCUCCUGGGAUCAACGAGGACAGAUUUAAUGCUGCAAUCAACGAGAAAUCAGUUCCUCUGAAGAUCCAGAAGCUUCAGCUGACUGACUCUGCUGUGUACUACUGUGCUCUGAGGCCCACAGUGACAGGAAACACCAACACUCUGUACAAAAACCUUUGGAGCAAACACAACACAAUACUCCACAACAUCCACUAGAGGGCGUCUCUCCCUCUCCAACUUAAAUUGAGUGUGGUGAUGGAGACUAAAUCAUGAGUGUAUUUUUCUGUCGAUGUAAAAAGGGAAAUGAAGAAUGGUUCAAACACAGAGCUACAGAAGGUUUUGUUGUGUAUUGA
Molecule: non-coding RNA, 676 nt
Organism: Notolabrus celidotus (New Zealand spotty)
Lineage: Eukaryota; Metazoa; Chordata; Actinopteri; Labriformes; Labridae
Source: the annotation of a RefSeq genome assembly